CNUUCUGUGCCGGAGUUAACGCAAUAAGUACCCCGCCUGGGGAGUACGACCGCAAGGUUGAAACUCAAAGGAAUUGACGGGGGCCCGCACAAGCGGUGGAGUAUGUGGUUUAAUUCGACGCAACGCGAAGAACCUUACCAGGUCUUGACAUUGAUGGACAGAACUAGAGAUAGUUCCUCUUCUUCGGAAGCCAGAAAACAGGUGGUGCACGGUUGUCGUCAGCUCGUGUCGUGAGAUGUUGGGUUAAGUCCCGCAACGAGCGCAACCCCUAUCUUAUGUUGCCAGCACUUCGGGUGGGAACUCAUGAGAGACUGCCGCAGACAAUGCGGAGGAAGGCGGGGAUGCCGUCAAAUCAUCAUGCCCCUUAUGACCUGGGCUACACACGUACUACAAUGGGAGUUAAUAGACGGAAGCGAAACCGCGAGGUGGAGCAAACCCGAGAAACACUCUCUCAGUUCGGAUCGUAGGCUGCAACUCGCCUACGUGAAGUCGGAAUCGCUAGUAAUCGCAGGUCAGCAUACUGCGGUGAAUACGUUCCCGGGCCUUGUNC
This 550-nucleotide ribosomal RNA is filed under the name uncultured bacterium. Its description in RNAcentral is "bacterial SSU rRNA". It matches the Rfam family "Bacterial small subunit ribosomal RNA", at positions 837 to 1386 of the family's 1533-position model. The record is from RNAcentral.